This is a long non-coding RNA of Poecilia latipinna (sailfin molly), 407 nucleotides long. RefSeq lists it as uncharacterized. Lineage: Eukaryota; Metazoa; Chordata; Actinopteri; Cyprinodontiformes; Poeciliidae. The transcript is spliced from 3 exons. The record is from RefSeq and is a predicted model, not a curated record.
CCAAAGCUCAGGUAGAAGAUAAGAUAGCAAAACAAUUUCUCAAAAAAGGAUUUAUCCUACAGGGAGAAUGAAGAGGAAGAACAGAAAAAAAAACCAAGAUAAAGGCCAGAGCACCGGGGAGUGGCUUUCCAAACCAUCCUGCAGCCAUACCCAUCUCUGGACCAGCAAGAUGGCCACCAUUGCACUGCACCACCAGCAGUGAAAAAUGGAGGCAGCUCUUAGGAGGAGAGCCUCACCUCCAGGUUUGGAUGCAGCUUCCCAGUGAUCCUCUUCCUCCUCCUGACAUCAUCUUCUUCACCGUCUCAUCUUUUAUAUGCAUAAAUUAUAGGAAUAUUUUUUCAUGAUUCCCCAAACACAGGCUGAAUAUCUGCUUGUAUGUUAUUGUAAUAAAUACAUUUUUAUGAAAA